UCCUUUUUGCAUUUCCAUGAAUCUGACUGUGACAUAAGAGGGUCUUCAUCUUGUGAAUCUGUGCUUUCUCUCAACACUGAAAAAAUUCUGAGCCAAGCAAAGUCACUUGCAGAACAAAAAAGGUUUCCAUUUGCUACUGAUAAUGACAACACAAACGAAGAGCUGGCAAUUGCUUAUGUGUUGAUUGGCAACGGCCUGUAUGAUGAAGCCAUACGACAUUUUUCAACAAUGCUGCAGGUAG
This is a non-coding RNA of Tinamus guttatus (white-throated tinamou), 241 nucleotides long. The record is from RefSeq and is a predicted model, not a curated record. Lineage: Eukaryota; Metazoa; Chordata; Aves; Tinamiformes; Tinamidae.